This 1602-nucleotide ribosomal RNA is filed under the name Staphylococcus pseudintermedius. RNAcentral's name for it is "partial 23S ribosomal RNA". It matches the Rfam family "Bacterial large subunit ribosomal RNA", at positions 1239 to 2841 of the family's 2925-position model. The record is from RNAcentral. Lineage: Bacteria; Bacillati; Bacillota; Bacilli; Caryophanales; Staphylococcaceae.
UUCUAAGGGCGUUGAAGCAUGAUCGCAAGGACAUGUGGAGCGCUUAGAAGUGAGAAUGCCGGUGUGAGUAGCGAAAGACGGGUGAGAAUCCCGUCCACCGAUUGACUAAGGUUUCCAGAGGAAGGCUCGUCCGCUCUGGGUUAGUCGGGUCCUAAGCUGAGGCCGACAGGCGUAGGCGAUGGAUAACAGGUUGAUAUUCCUGUACCACCAUUAUUCGUUUUAAGCGAUGGGGGGACGCAGUAGGAUAGGCGAAGCGUGCUGUUGGAGUGCACGUCCAAGCAGUGAGAUUGAGUGUUAGGCAAAUCCGGCACUCUUAAGAUUGAGCUGUGAUGGGGAGAGGAACUUGUUCCUCGAGUCGUUGAUUUCACACUGCCGAGAAAAGCCUCUAGCUAGAAUAACGGUGCCCGUACCGCAAACCGACACAGGUAGUCAAGAUGAGAAUUCUAAGGUGAGCGAGCGAACUCUCGUUAAGGAACUCGGCAAAAUGACCCCGUAACUUCGGGAGAAGGGGUGCUCUUUGAGGUUCACGCUUCGAAGAGCCGCAGUGAAUAGGCCCAAGCGACUGUUUAUCAAAAACACAGGUCUCUGCUAAACCGUAAGGUGACGUAUAGGGGCUGACGCCUGCCCGGUGCUGGAAGGUUAAGAGGAGUGGUUAGCGCAAGCGAAGCUACGAAUCGAAGCCCCAGUAAACGGCGGCCGUAACUAUAACGGUCCUAAGGUAGCGAAAUUCCUUGUCGGGUAAGUUCCGACCCGCACGAAAGGCGUAACGAUUUGGGCACUGUCUCAACGAGAGACUCGGUGAAAUCAUAGUACCGGUGAAGAUGCCGGUUACCCGCGACAGGACGGAAAGACCCCGUGGAGCUUUACUGUAGCCUGAUAUUGAAAUUCGGUACAGUUUGUACAGGAUAGGUAGGAGCCUUAGAAGCGUGAGCGCUAGCUUACGUGGAGGCAUUGGUGGGAUACUACCCUAAUUGUAUUGGAUUUCUAACCCGCAGCACUUAUCGUGCUGGGAGACAGUGUCAGGCGGGCAGUUUGACUGGGGCGGUCGCCUCCUAAAGAGUAACGGAGGCGCUCAAAGGUUCCCUCAGAAUGGUUGGAAAUCAUUCAUAGAGUGUAAAGGCAUAAGGGAGCUUGACUGCGAGACCUACAAGUCGAGCAGGGUCGAAAGACGGACUUAGUGAUCCGGUGGUUCCGCAUGGAAGGGCCAUCGCUCAACGGAUAAAAGCUACCCCGGGGAUAACAGGCUUAUCUCCCCCAAGAGUUCACAUCGACGGGGAGGUUUGGCACCUCGAUGUCGGCUCAUCGCAUCCUGGGGCUGUAGUCGGUCCCAAGGGUUGGGCUGUUCGCCCAUUAAAGCGGUACGCGAGCUGGGUUCAGAACGUCGUGAGACAGUUCGGUCCCUAUCCGUCGUGGGCGUAGGAAAUUUGAGAGGAGCUGUCCUUAGUACGAGAGGACCGGGAUGGACAUACCUCUGGUGUACCAGUUGUCGUGCCAACGGCAUAGCUGGGUAGCUAUGUAUGGACGGGAUAAGUGCUGAAAGCAUCUAAGCAUGAAGCCCCCCUCGAGAUGAGAUUUCCCAACUUCGGUUAUAAGAUCCCUCAA